RNAcentral lists this unclassified non-coding RNA (479 nucleotides) under Pleosporales sp. Iso215. RNAcentral's name for it is "sequence contains ITS1, 5.8S rRNA gene, ITS2". The stretch from base 172 to 325 matches the Rfam family "5.8S ribosomal RNA". The record is from RNAcentral. Lineage: Eukaryota; Fungi; Ascomycota; Dothideomycetes; Pleosporales.
UCGACUAUUUGAGGGACGAAACUGGGCAGCUAUACCUGUGCAGAACUACACUUCUUUUCUCAACCCUUGACUUUUUGCGCACUUGUGUUUCCUCUGCAGGCAUGCCUGCCCAUUGGACAAAUCAUAACCUUUUUAAUUUUCAAUCAGCGUCUGAAUUAUUUUAAUAAUUACAACUUUCAACAACGGAUCUCUUGGUUCUGGCAUCGAUGAAGAACGCAGCGAAAUGCUAUAAUUAGUGUGAAUUGCUGAAUUCAUUGAAUCAUCAAAUCUUUGAACGCACAUUGCGCCCCUUGGUAUUCCAUGGGGCAUGCCUGUUCUAGCGUCAUUUGUACUCUCAAGCCUUGCUUGGUGUUGGGUGUUUGUCUUCUCCUCGCUUANACUCGCCUUAAAUAUAUUGGCAGCCGGUAUACUGGUUUGAAACNCAACACAAUUGCAUUUCACGCUCUUAGUACUANCAUCCACAAAAAUUAUCAACACUU